Molecule: long non-coding RNA, 934 nt
Organism: Exaiptasia diaphana
Lineage: Eukaryota; Metazoa; Cnidaria; Anthozoa; Actiniaria; Aiptasiidae
Exons: 4
Source: RefSeq, a predicted model, not a curated record
UCAGUGAAACGUGAAUGUGACGAAAUUUCUUGCUUUUCAGUUCUGACAACUGGACUGGCAAUCAAAAAGAGUCAAAACUAAUUAAAAAGCUAAACCCUAUGUUGGACAAACACGAAAAAAAGGGCAAACAACACUUAUUCAACGGUUUUGAAAGGAUGCCAAAAGAUGUYACUGAAAAAGUGAAAACAAGAAAUACCUACGUUUCCACACGCUGAAAGAAAUUUUUUUCAACACGACUUUUUGGAAUUCAAUCGAAGUCCCCUGUCUCACGAAUGUUCUUCACUAGUGAAAAUGACAAGAAAAACUUAGUGAAGGAUAGUGAAAAUAGUUCGAAAGGUGAAAAAAUUGUACCGAUCGAACGGUCAAUAGGUUGGUUAGGGGCUCUGCUACCCCCGCAAGAGCAAACAUUCCUUCAGGUCAUUGAGGUUGAUAAGAAGAACUCAACUCGACCUUUUUUCAAGCAAAAGCGGAUUGCCACCAGAGCGAACCAAAAAUUAUGCUCACCCCAUGCGGGCAUCGGUUCUGCGACCGAUGUGCGCGUGGGGUCUUUGAGAUGGACAACUGUCCUCUCUGCAGAGCUCAAAUAAUCACAUUAAUAAUGGGGCACGUAGAAGAGUGCCCCUUCAAUACGGCCCUCCUUGCAGCGUGCAAGGAGGUCUUUUCUGAUGUUAAAAGAAAGUAAAGUCCUACAACAACACCAGCAAUGUUCCUUGAUGUUUUCUAGAAAUCUUUUUAAAUCUGAUCACUAAAGAGUUUGUAAAUUUCAUGCUAUAUGUUAAACUGUUUUCUUUUUUAAAAUCACCUCUUUCGACACACUACACCAAGACUUUGAAUGAAACAUGUUUCGUCUAUUAGACCUUUUCAAUCAUUAAUUGUUUUUAAUUGUUAUUAUAAGUUAAUAAAGUGAAUUAAAUGAAACAUAAAGUCUCGUUUA